AUAACGGUCCUAAGGUAGCGAAAUUCCUUGUCGGGUAAGUUCCGACCUGCACGAAUGGCGUAACGAUGGCCACACUGUCUCCUCCCGAGACUCAGCGAAGUUGAAAUGUUUGUGAUGAUGCAAUCUACCCGCGGCUAGACGGAAAGACCCCAUGAACCUUUACUGUAGCUUUGCAUUGGACUUUGAACCAAUCUGUGUAGGAUAGGUGGGAGGCUUUGAAGCGGGGACGCCAGU
Molecule: ribosomal RNA, 234 nt
Filed under: Ditylum brightwellii
Lineage: Eukaryota; Bacillariophyta; Thalassiosirophyceae; Lithodesmiales; Lithodesmiaceae
Description: partial Bacterial large subunit ribosomal RNA
Rfam family: Bacterial large subunit ribosomal RNA
Source: RNAcentral